Molecule: transfer RNA, 58 nt
Filed under: Geotrypetes seraphini (Gabon caecilian)
Lineage: Eukaryota; Metazoa; Chordata; Amphibia; Gymnophiona; Dermophiidae
Description: tRNA-Tyr
Source: RNAcentral
GGUAAUUGUAAACAGCGGAUUGUAAUUCCGUUUUAAGGGUUUAAACCCCUAUUUACCA